UACGGAGGGUGCAAGCGUUGUUCGGAUUUAUUGGGCGUAAAGCGCGCGCAGGCGGACGAUCAAGUCAGAUGUGAAAUCUCGGGGCUUAACCCCGAAACUGCGUCUGAAACUGAUGGUCUAGAGUCUCGAAGGGGGUAGGGGAAUUUCACGUGUAGGGGUAAAAUCCGUAGAGAUGUGAAGGAACACCGGAGGCGAAGGCGCCUACCUGGACGAGCACUGACGCUGAUGGACGAAAGCGUGGGUAGCGAACAGG
RNAcentral lists this ribosomal RNA (253 nucleotides) under uncultured bacterium. RNAcentral describes it as "partial 16S ribosomal RNA". It matches the Rfam family "Bacterial small subunit ribosomal RNA", at positions 524 to 776 of the family's 1533-position model. The record is from RNAcentral.